UUUCCGUAGGUGAACCUGCGGAGGGAUCAUUCACCAUCAAUGUUUUUUUGGAACUUUACCAUCCCUAUCCACCUUGUGUGCGACGUUUUGAGGUCUUUUUAUCAUUUCGCCGGCAGCGGAAUGUUUCUUCUACCUGCGAGUAGGGCAAGACAAGGAGGCAUUUUAUAUCUUAACUCUUUAUCUUUAAAAAAUUUGACUCAAUAUAUUUUUCGAGUCAACUUUCAAAAUAAAUAGAACUUUCUACAACGGAUCUCUUGACUCUCGCAUCGAGUAAGAAAC
RNAcentral lists this unclassified non-coding RNA (279 nucleotides) under plant metagenome. RNAcentral describes it as "partial contains small subunit ribosomal RNA, internal transcribed spacer 1, and 5.8S ribosomal RNA". The record is from RNAcentral.